RNAcentral lists this transfer RNA (85 nucleotides) under Phycisphaerales bacterium. RNAcentral's name for it is "tRNA-Ser". It matches the Rfam family "tRNA". From Rfam's summary of the family: Transfer RNA (tRNA) molecules are approximately 80 nucleotides in length. Their secondary structure includes four short double-helical elements and three loops (D, anti-codon, and T loops). Further hydrogen bonds mediate the characteristic L-shaped molecular structure. tRNAs have two regions of fundamental functional importance: the anti-codon, which is responsible for specific mRNA codon recognition, and the 3' end, to which the tRNAs corresponding amino acid is attached (by aminoacyl-tRNA synthetases). tRNAs cope with the degeneracy of the genetic code in two manners: having more than one tRNA (with a specific anti-codon) for a particular amino acid; and 'wobble' base-pairing, i.e. permitting non-standard base-pairing at the 3rd anti-codon position. The record is from RNAcentral. Lineage: Bacteria; Pseudomonadati; Planctomycetota; Phycisphaerae; Phycisphaerales.
GGAAGAGUGGCCGAGUGGCUUAAGGCGGCGGUCUUGAAAACCGCAGUGGGGCAACCCACCGGGGGUUCGAAUCCCUCCUCUUCCG